CGGGCUGGGCCGGGGCACUCGCGGGCCUCGGUCUCCACACCAGGAAUCGUCUUAGCCAGCCUGGGGCUGACUUUGGAGUGGCAGUUGCUUCCGCCUUCUCUCCCGAGAAAAGGGUAACCAAUACAUAGUCACUACUCAAGAAAAAGAAUGUUUCUUUGUGUGCCUGUGGUCCAUUCCUGAGUACUUCCCACCCCUUCGAUCUAUUAAUACAGUGUAAGACUUCCGAAAUAAAAAGUUACCCAAUUAAAAACAGAAUAUCAACCCUGCCGGUGUGGCUCAGCAUCGAUCGAUGAACCAGAA
This is a long non-coding RNA of Myotis lucifugus (little brown bat), 300 nucleotides long. RefSeq lists it as uncharacterized. NCBI's taxonomy places the organism in Eukaryota, Metazoa, Chordata, Mammalia, Chiroptera, Vespertilionidae. The transcript is spliced from 3 exons. The record is from RefSeq and is a predicted model, not a curated record.